RNAcentral lists this long non-coding RNA (6431 nucleotides) under Citrus x clementina. RNAcentral describes it as "Citrus clementina (C. clementina) long non-coding RNA (CCLE_LNC002154)". The record is from RNAcentral. Lineage: Eukaryota; Viridiplantae; Streptophyta; Magnoliopsida; Sapindales; Rutaceae.
GUCUUUGCAUUUCUGUUUAUGGUUUUUAUUCGUUAGAGAUUCAGCAAAUUGAAACUAGUUGCAGUUUCUGAGUUCAAUUCGAUCCUACUUAAGCAGUGAAAAAAACUUAGUUCUAUAUUGUUUGGCAAGCAAGAAAGUAAAGGAAAAUGAAAGAGAACUCUAAAGAACCUUUUUUAUUAUACUCAGAUGUCUCAACUUAAUGAAUACUGAUUGACAUUUAUACUAAGCUACAAUCUUCACUACACACACGAGUUUGUUACAUCACAUAACCAUUUGCUGCAUAACUAACUUUACACAUCAGCUCAACCAGCUAACUAACUUUGACAGGUCAGCUCAGUGAGUUGAUCUGCUACAACCAGCUACACAGCAACAGCAUGCUCUGCUCCAGCUAUACAGCAACAUCAUGCUCUGCUCCAGCUUUGACAGGUCAGCUCAAUGAGUUGAUCUGCUACAACCAGCUACACAGCAACAGCAUGCUCUGCUCCAGCUAUACAGCAACAUCAUGCUCUGCUCCAGCUUUAUUCAAUUCACUAACAUCCCCCCUCAAGCUGAAAUGUUUAGGAUGAACAUUCAGCUUGCUUCUGAAGUAAUUGAAUUGUUUGAAAGUAAGAGCCUUAGUUAACACAUCUGCUGUUUAAUCUGGACUAGGCACAUAGCAUACUGCAACCUCUUUAGCAGUGACCUUAUCUCGGAUAAAAUGUAUAUCCAAUUCAACAUGCUUAGUCUUAGCAUGAUAAACUGGAUUAUAAGCUAAAGCAAUUGCUCAUUGAUUAUCACACCACAUCAUAGGAGUGGAGCUUAAUGUGAUACUAAGUUCACCAAGUAAGGAUUUAAUUCAGGUAACCUCUGAAGCAGCAUGAGCAAGAGAUCUAUACUCAGCUUCUGUGCUGGAUCUGGAAACAACAACUUGUUUCUUUGACGACCAGGAAACAAGAUUAGGACCUAAAUAAACAGCAAAGCCAACCAUUGACUUCCUAUCAUCAUGAUCACAAGCCCAAUCAGAAUCUGAAAAACAAUGUAAUUGCAGAGCUCCUUGAUUGUAGAAAUGCAGCCCCAGAUGGAUAGUGCCUUUUAAGUACCUCAAUAACCUUUUACAUGCUUCCCAAUGUUGAGUUCUAGGACUGGAAAGGAACUGACUUAACUUGUUUACAGAGAAGACAAUGUCAGGUCUGGUAAGAGUAACAUAUUGAAGAGCUCCUAUAACACUUCGAUAUUGAGAAACAUUUUCAAGUGGCUCUCCUGAGUCUUUGGUGAGAUAAAAAUCUGUAAACAUUGGAGUUGGCACAGGACUGCAGUCUGUCAUGCCAUGUUUAUCCAGAAUAUCAGCAAUGUACUUUGCUUGUGUCAAGGAAACCCCUUGUGAAGAUUUGCUGACUUCAAUCCCUAGAAAAUAGUGAAGUUCCCCCAGGUCUUUUAAAGCAAAAGCUUGAUGCAUAUGCUGGAUAACUUGUUGAAUUAUGGAUGGACUGGAACCAGUGAUGAUAAUAUCAUCAACAUAGACCAAAACAACAGUUAGAUGACUACUGUUCCAGGCAUAAAAGAGAGAGUUAUCAGACCUGGAAUGCUGAAAAUGCCACUUGGAGAUCAUUGCAUCCUUAAACCUAUCAAACUAGGCUCUAGGAGCCUGUUUUAAGCCAUACAAAGCCUUAUUUAGCUUGCAGAUAUGAUUAGGUUUAGUUGAAUCAACAAAACCUUGAGGUUGAGCCAUGUACACAUCUUCAAUUAAAAUGCCAUUUAGAAAGGCAUUGUUAACAUCCACCUGCCUUACAACCCAGUGACUCAAUACUGCUAAGCUAAGAAUAACUCUAACAGUGGAGGACUUAACCACUGGACUGAAGGUUUCUGUGUAGUCAAUCCCAUGUGUCUGAUGAAACCCUUUAGCCACAAGCCUGGCUUUAUACCUUGAAACUGAACCAUCUGAGUUAUACUUUACUCGAAAUACCCACUUGUUGCCAACUAUCUUCACUGGAGUAGCAGGUAAGACUAAAUCCCAGGUGUGAUUGGUUUUAAGAGCUAGAUACUCUUCUUGCAUAGCUUUAUACCACAUAGGAUCAGAAAGUGCUUUGGAAACAGAGGUUGGUUCUGACUUUUGAGCUAGUAAAGCUGACAAGUAGAUCUUGGGCUUGAAGAUACCUGCUUUUGACCUGGUUAUCAUUGGAUGACCAGAUGAUGCAGGUUGUGACAAGGUAUGUGGAGGUGAAUGAUGGGAUGGUGAAGAAGGAGAAGAAGAAGUGGAAUUGAAAUUAUCAGAAAAGUAAACUGGAGUAGAAUUUGGGAAGGAAAUAGAAGCAUGUGACUGAGAAUCAUUAAGAAUAUAUUCUGAUGAUGCUGCUAAAGGUGCUUGUAACUGAGUAACAAAAGGAGUAGAAGAAUUAAAAGAAGACUCAGAAUGAGUUGAUGACUGACAGUUUGAAGAAACUGAAGAAAAAUCUGUUCCUAACUCAUAAGGAAAAGAACUUUCAUAAAAGGUUACAUGAUUUGAAAUAUAGACCCUCCCAGAAGAGUGAAGACACUGAUAUCCCUUGUGUUGUGAACUGUAGCCAAUGAAUAUACAUCUAGCUGUUCUGAAAUCAAACUUAUGUCUAUUGUAUGGUCUGAGUGUUGGAUAACAAGCACAGCCGAAAAUUUUAAGUGUUGAAUAAUCUGGUUGGGAAUGAAACAACUUUUGAAAAGGAGAAAUGCUGUUUAGAACUGGAGUUGGAAGUCUGUUUAUCAAGUAGACAGCUGUAUGGAAUGCAUUCCACCAAAAUUUGAGUGGUAAAUGUGCUUGAGCUAAUAAAGUCAGUCCUACAUCAACUAUGUGUCUAUGUUUCCUCUCAAUUUUUCCAUUUUGAUGAUGAAUGUGGGGGCAAGGAUGUCGAAAAUGGAUGCCAGAAGUAGUGAGUAAUGAUGAAAAUGUUCUGAACUCCCCUCCCCAGUCAGUUUGGACAAUUUUGAUGGAAAGUUGAAGAUGCUUCUCAAUGAAUAUUUUGAAAUUGGUAAAAACUUCAAGAGCAUCAGAUUUUGCUGAUAAGGGAAAAAUCCAGGUAAACCUACUGUAAUCAUCUAGGAUUGACAAGUAGUAAUUAUAUCCUUGGGUAGAACAAACAUGAGAAGGGCCCCAAAGAUCUGCAUAUAUCAGUUGUAAAGGUGUUGAAGUUUUUGUUUCUACUGAAUCAAAAUGCAGCAUGUGAUUUUUACCAUAUUGGCAUGCUGAACAAAAUUUCAAACUGUCAACUUUAUUAAAAGCAGUAGAGUUGUUACAAGCUUUGAGAAUGGUUUUGAGAGUAUAAGAUGCUGGGUGUCCUAAUCUUCUAUGAAGAAGAUUUACAUCAAUAGAACCCUUUGCAACAACUGACAGACAUGACUUUUUAUUCAACUCAUAAGAGCUAACAGUAGAGAGCUGAGCAGAAUUAAAAACAGGAGAACAAGCAAAAAGAGACUGAAUUUUGUUUUGACCAACUGAACUGAGAAAGACUGAAUGAACAGCAGCAUGAGAAGAGACUCUAUACAAGCCACCUUUAGCAACACCUUCAAGUAAAAUUUUCCAUGUGUUCCUGGCCUUUAUAAAACACAAAUCACCAAGAAAUUCAACAGUAACUGGAUUGUCAGCCAACAAUUUUGAGAUGCUAAGCAAAUUCUUAGUAAUAAAAGGGACAUGAAGAACAUGGUUAAGAAAUAAGGAUUGAGAAGCUGAAGUAUUUAGCACAACUGACCCUACAUGUGUAAUAGCUAAUGCAUUUCCAUCUCCAACAAAUAACCUUUCAGUACCAGUGUAAACUUUUGAAUCCAGAAGCUUACCUAGAUCAUUGGUAAUAUGAUUUGUUGCUCCACUAUCAAUAUACCAGGAAGGAUCUUCAAUGUGUUCAGGUGGAAGUGAAGAAGACAUAGCAGAGGAGGAGGAAGCACUUGACUGUUCCAGAUUAUUAUGUCCUAGACCAGAAACAAAAUUAGAUGAUCUAGGGUUGAAUGAGAAAUAAGCAGAUGGGUUGCUCUCUGGAUAUACUAUAUUUCCUUGAUAGCCAAAACCCCUGGGGGCAUUACCAAAACCAACAUUUUGUCCAAAACCAGCAUUUGAACCAAAACCUCCAAAACCUCUUCCACUAUUACCAUUAAAGGCUCUUCCUCGACCAUAUUGCCCUUGAUUAAAACCUCUGCCACCAUUCAUAUUACCUCUACCAUGGUUCCUCUGUGGAACAAAAGAUGAGUUGUACCUAUUUCUGCAUUUAUAGGCUGCAUGACCAGGUAUGAAGCAAAUUUGGCAAACAACUUCAGAGAAAUUACUAUUAUUAUUAAACUGACCAUAUCCAUAUCCAGAAUUAUUACCACCUCCAGAGUUAUUUCCAUACUGUUUCUGAAAAUUUCCAUUAUUCUUUCCAACAUAUGAGUUCUUCUUAACAAUAUUUGCUGUCAUGUUAUGCAUCACAUCACCAGCAAUUUUUCCUUUCUUUUGCUCAACUCUAUUUUCAUGAUUCAACAGCAAAGAAUAUAGUUCAUCUAAUGUUAUCUUUUCACCUCGAGCUAACACAGCAGUGACUAAAGAUUCAUAAUCUGAUGAAUCAAGACCAGUUAAUACAUGCAUCACAAGAUCAUUUAACUCAACAGGUUUUCCAGCUAGAGCUAAAGUAUCAGCUAUACGUUUUACUUUUACAAAGUAAUCAGACAUAUGCAUUGCACCUUUCUUAAUAGUUUGAAUCUGCAUUCUAAGUGUUUGAAUUCUAGCUUGUGAUUGAGAGAUAAACAUACUAGCAAGAGUCUCCCAAAGCUGUUUUGAGGUUGUUGAGUCAAUCACAGUAGCAAGCAGAUUUUGUUGUAUCGAUGACAUCAUCCAACUCAGCAGAAGUUGAUCAGCCUUCAUCCAAGCUACGAACUCUGGAUUAACAGAUCUGGAUCCAGAUUCAGUAACAGAUCUGGAUCCAGAUUCAGUUAAGAUUUCAGCUCCAUUGUUGUUGCCAGAAAAAAGAAACUGCUCAGGACAUUCUCGAUCACCAUUGACGAAACCUUCCAAACCAUUUCCUUUGAUCGAAGCUAGAAUUUGUGUGCGCCACAAAAUAUAGUUGUUUUGAUCUAGCUUUACAGGCGUACCAAAACUAAAAGAGUUGUUGUUUUGAACUGUAUUUGUCAUUUAUGGCUCUGAUACCAUGAAAGAAACUUAGUUCUAUAUUGUUUGGCAAGCAAGAAAGUAAAGGAAAAUGAAAGAGAACUCUAAAGAACCUUUUUUAUUAUACUCAGAUGUCUCAACUUAAUGAAUACUGAUUGACAUUUAUACUAAGCUACAAUCUUCACAACACACACGAGUUUGUUACAUCACAUAACCAUUUGCUGCAUAACUAACUUUACACAUCAGCUCAACCAGCUAACUAACUUUGACAGGUCAGCUCAGUGAGUUGAUCUGCUACAACCAGCUACAUAGCAACAGCAUGCUAUGCUCCAGCUUUAUCCGCUUUGCUCUGCUCUGCUCCAGCUUUGACAGGUUAGCUCAGUGAGUUGAUCUGCUACAACCAGCUACACAGCAACAGCAUGCUCUGCUCCAGCUAUACAGCAACAUCAUGCUCUGCUCCAGCUUUAUCCAAUUCACUAACAGGCAGGAGUCACGGGAGGAAUGGACUGAGGAGCCAAUGCUUGACUUGGUGCCUUCUUGUGCAUUGAUGCUUAUUUUAAACUCAAAGUGGGGAUUCUUUCAGCUCAGUUCAUUUCUUGUUGUUCUUUUGUUAUGGACUUAAAUUAAUGGUUUCAGCUUACUCUUUCGUCUUUAUAAUGCUUAGUGGGAUUGCUUGGGUUUAUCACUCUCUCUGUUGCUUUUCAUGUUUGCUUUAUACCUCAUUUCAUUCUCACGCAAGAUUUUUCAUUUGCGUCAUGGAAAAAUCUGCAAUUGGUGUGAAGUUAAGCAAAAGUGAUGCAUCCUAUGCAGAAGACUAGAUGCCGGCCCUGAAAUCAAUUAAAGCCAAAUUUUGGCUUAUUGGUUUAUCUCUUUCUGGCCUUGAUGUUUCCAAGUAGGCACCUAGUAACCAGGUCUUGGAGCACAAGACGUUUAGAAUGAUGUUUCCUUGACAAUUUCUAAGAGUUUGUUGUCAGCACCCUUUUCUAUUCAAGAGCAUAAAUGCACCUUUGAACAUACGGGCGUUAGUUGAUUGAAUUUCCAUCUAAAGCACCUCAGUGUGUGACAAUGAACAGAUUUUAUCCCUCUGCAAUUGGGAGCUGGGUUGCGAUUUUCAGCAUGCCUCUUUCCUUUUCUGUAUUAAUACUCAAUAAUGGAGGUUUUACUGGUAUAUCUUUCAAACUGCCGCGGCUUGUAUAGAGAUAUUAAACAUAAUACAUAUACAUAUGCUAACACUUGGCAUUCCUUGGUAAAUCAAACAGUUUUUGCUAGGAACGAUACUUGUUUGAUACCUUGUUCUGAAAAGAGAAUUAAAUGCUAUAUAUCUUUUAUUUUUAUUUUUCUGGUAAUAACA